AGGCGCUGGAGUUGGGGCAAAAGGGAGAGGGAGGGAGCCCGAAACUCGCGGCGGCGGCCAAUCGGCUCUCACUGCCGUCCAAUCGCAAGACCUAGCUGCAGUGUGAUUGGCCUUCGGCCCCGGUCCCAGGAGCGGGGAGAUGCCUGACUCGGGUCGUGGCUGACGACCCGACGGUUCGCCUGCGGCCGCCUCCAACAACGGUGGAAACCGCACACAGGGACCGCGGGCCCUCGGUGCAGCAAAUCGGAAAGUGCUGCGGUCGGCGGCCCUGGGCUCUGAGCGCUCAAGCGAGCAGAGGGGUGGAGGGGCUCUCCCCACCCACAGGAGGCUCUCGGCGGGGCGCAGCCAAUUCUGCGCGCCCAAGGCUCCCCUCUGCCGUGGAUCGCGUGUGCCGAGUGUUGGCCUCUUCCCCGAAAGGGCCAGACGGACCAAGGGGGCCUUCCCAGCCGGCUGCAAGCUCUCAGACGCUAAAAUGGGAACAAAGCUUCCAGAAAGGCAGCGCCUUUGGGCGGCCGCGCCCCGCCCAGCCGCGGGGGCCAUUGAUACAGAGGCUUGCUGCGCUUGGUGUGCGCGGCCCGGCCGGGCCUCUGGAAACGCCCAUGAGAAAUGAGCUCAUGCUGGAUGCGCGCGCUCCUUGGGCGCAACUGCCCAGCGCAAAACGGGCCCCGAAAGCAGGUGAGUGGAGGACACUUCAAUCUAAAGUGAUCUUAAAGGAGGAGUAGUAGGAUUUGAAGAUGAAGAAAGAAGAGGGGAGGUAAAUUACUUUCCAUCACUUCAAUUUCAACCCAUCAGAUAAAACCUCUCUUUAGUAAACCUGCAUGUGGGUGGAGCUGUAACAGCAAUUAAGGACAGUGUGACUCUGUUCUUCUGACUUUGGGAAAACCAGUUUGGCUGGAACAAAAAGCUGAUAGAGAAGACUAAUGGAAGAUAAGGUUGAAAAGGAAACGGGUCAUGAUCCAGACCCCAGGAGAGGGUUCUUGGAUCUCACACAAGAAAGAAUUCAGGGUGACCCCACAGUGCAAAAGUCAAAGCAAGUAUUAAGAAAAUGAAGGAAUAACAGAAUGGCUACUACAUAGAGCAGCCCUGAGGGCUGCUGGUUGCCCUUUUUUUUUUUUCCUUUGAGAUGGAGUUUUCGUUCUUGUUGCCCAGGCUGGAGUGCAAUGGCGUGAUCUCGGCUCACCACAACCUCCACCUCCCAGGUUCAAGCAAUUCUGCCUCAGCCUCCCGAGUAGCUGAGAUUACAGGCAUGCGCCACCACGCCCGGCUAAUUUUGUGUUUUUAGUAGAGUGAGGGUUUCUCCAUGUUGGUCAGGUUGGUCUUGAACUUCCGACCUCAGUUGAUCUGCCCGCCUUGGCCUCCCAAAGUACUGGGAUUACAGGCAUAAGCCACCGCACCUGGCCUGGUUGCCCAUUCUUUAUGGUCGUUUCUUGAUGAUAUGCUAACCAAGGAGUGGAUUAAUCAUGCCUCCCCUUUUUGGACCACAUAGGGUCUAAACUGUCAUGGCACAUUUGUAAACUGUCAUGGCACUGGUGGGAGUGUAGCAGUGAGGACGACCAGAGGUCACUCUCGUCGCCAUUUUGGUUUUGGUGGGUUUUGGCCAGCUCCUUUACUGCAACCUGUUUUAUCAGCAAGGUCUUUAAGACCUGUAUUUUGUGCUGACCUCCUAUCUCAUCCUGUGACUUAGAAUGCCUUAACUGACCAUCUGGGAAUGCAGCCCAAUAGAUUUCACCCUCAUUUUGCCCGGCUCCUGUUUAAGAUGGAGUUGCUCUGGUUCACAUGCCUCUAACAAAUCCUUUUAGUUUUUCAUGCUUGUCACAUGUUUACUUCUAAGGGUAUAAUCAUGUGGUUUACUAUAUUAUUACCGAUUAGAUUAUUUUGAACUACUUCAAUUUUAUUUAUUUUACCUCAUUUCCAUUCACAUUUUUUGAAAAGAGCUUUUUUAUACAAGAGUGUAAAUAUUUUCACAUUGAAUAAAUGAAUUGAAAACAGUA
RNAcentral lists this long non-coding RNA (1991 nucleotides) under Homo sapiens (human). RNAcentral's name for it is "GSK3B divergent transcript, transcript variant 6 (GSK3B-DT)". Lineage: Eukaryota; Metazoa; Chordata; Mammalia; Primates; Hominidae. The record is from RNAcentral.